Ictalurus punctatus (channel catfish) is the source of this 858-nucleotide long non-coding RNA. RefSeq lists it as uncharacterized. The transcript has 2 exons. Lineage: Eukaryota; Metazoa; Chordata; Actinopteri; Siluriformes; Ictaluridae. The record is from RefSeq and is a predicted model, not a curated record.
AUUUAUUUAUUUAUUUAUAUUGAUAUAUUUUUUACUUUUGCUGAAGAUGUUUGAGCAGUCAGCAGUAGGGUCAUCACCGUGAGACAUGUUGCAGACUCAUAUGGUGUGGGCAGUAGUCUGGCGGUGACAUUUCCACGCUUCAUUAGCUGGUCUAGUCUGGAGCAGGCUGCAAAAUGCUGCAGUGGUUGAUGUCUUUCCUCUGUGUUCAUUUUCUUCUCAGAGUGGAGGCUUCUAUAGAGAAACGUGGUUCUUCAAACAGAUUAUAGAUCAGCCUUUUAAAGGCUUUUACUUGAUUUGGGGACCCACUGGGGGGGUGGGGGGGUAUUGUAGGAGGACAGACAUCUUGGCUGUAAAUCACAUCAAACGUACUGUAGAACCGGCACCUGUUUACUCUGUGCAUUUAGCUUGUUGGUGAAAUAAUGAAAUGAUUCAGAAGUAUAUACACUAGUAAUGUGUAAUAAAUAGUAGCUCAGCUACUUAUGUAACUACGUAUUAGUCAAAUACUGCUUGAACUUCACCUGACCAAUAAAAAUGACUUUGCUUUGCAUUAAAAUGUAAAGCUGUUAGUAUGUCUAUAAAUAAAAAUGUUAAAAAAUAAACACUCCGUACACAGUUGAAUAAGUGAGGAAAUAUUGCAGAAGAAAUAAAAAUAGAGAAUGCAGCUUAAUGUUUAGGCAGUGUUAACUACAAGCCCAAAUAUAGAUUAGCCCAGGAAACUAUCAUAUAGCAAGACUAUAUUUAUAUGAAUCUCAAAUGACAUCCUGUUGAGCAUGUGAUGCACUAAGUAGUUUCUACAUUGCCGUUAAGUUAUACCAUAUGCAGUAAACACACAUACUGAAUAAAAAUCUUGUCUUUUAA